RNAcentral lists this non-coding RNA (23 nucleotides) under Cricetulus griseus (Chinese hamster). The record is from RNAcentral. Lineage: Eukaryota; Metazoa; Chordata; Mammalia; Rodentia; Cricetidae.
GAGUGGUCAGUGGGAAGGGGAGU